RNAcentral lists this long non-coding RNA (5367 nucleotides) under Triticum aestivum (bread wheat). Its description in RNAcentral is "long non-coding RNA (TAES_LNC011943)". The record is from RNAcentral. Lineage: Eukaryota; Viridiplantae; Streptophyta; Magnoliopsida; Poales; Poaceae.
UCCGGGUGCACGCGGCGGGGAAGGCGGUGGUGGAACGACGGCUUGCCGUGGCAGCCUUGGAACCGCAGCCUCCAACAUGUGCCACAUACCAUCAAACCACAAGGACGGGGCUUGCCUGCUCCGUGAAAAUACUCCCAUCCGUGCUCCCCCGGUAAGUGACGCUCAUCCAACGAUCCCACGCUGCUGGCCUCCUUUCCGCUUAAAAAACCCAGCAAUUAAACAAAACCGGCGGCACCUUCCUCUUAAUUAAACGCAGGAAAAGAUCAGCCUCUCGUUUCAUUCCUCUCCUAUCCACUCACUUUCCCAAAGCAGUAGCUUCUCCGCGGCGCUCGUCAGCGAACUGCACACCAGACCUUGCGGCCACGGCGUCCCUCGGCCCUCGCGGCGCUCGUAGGCGAGCUGCGCGCCGUUCCUGAGGACGCAGCCUCCGUCGCCCGGCGCGGCGCUCGUCGUCGAGCUGCGCGCUGUUCCUGAGGCCGCAGCCUCCGCCGCCCUGCGCGGCGCUCGUCGGCGACCUGCGUGCCGUCCCACCUCGGCGGUCACCUUCGUGGCCCUGUUUGCCGCGUUCGCCGCUUGUCGUGGUAGAAGGUACGUCGUCCAAUUACUCAAGUAGAUGGCUGCUGUUCUUCUAAUUUCUCAACCAAAUGCUUCUUUUGUCCGUGUGAGGUGGGUGAGAUGCAAGCAACUAUGCUUUUGGACAAGAACUGUGCUUUUGGUCUAACUUGAUUAAGCUACGCAUGUCUAAAAUACUUACACCUUAAAUCUAUGCUUUUGAACAUCAAGUAUGCAUUGCUCUCACUUAAUUAAGUUGUGCAUUCGAUCGAUAUGCAUAGACUCCCCACAAAUCCAGUAAUAUAUUACAAGUUUUUAGGAAAGUAGCCCAAAAAAAAUGAGUCUCUGACAACGAUGACGGAUUAAGUUGGCUUCUGUUGUUUGAAGAAGACUUGAUUUUGACUUGUCAUUGUACCAAAGGAUGGCUGCAGUGAAGCAUUUGAUGUUGGGUGUCCUAUCAUCGUACCAAUGGACGACUGCAGCGAGGCAUUCGGAGCUGGGCGUCCUCUCAUCGUACCAACGGAUGGCUGCAGCGAGGCAUUCGGAGCUGGGCGUCCUCUCAUCGUACCAACGGAUGGCUGCAGCGAGGCAUUUGGAGCUGGGUGUCCUAUCAUCGUACCAAGAGACGGCAAUAGUGAGGCAUCCAGAGCUGAGUUGCAUUGUUCUGAAUAGGUAUAAACGUGAUUUGUCGGAACUCCCAAAUGACCCUGUGAGUUAGUGUCCAUAAAUCUUCAAAAAUCAAAAUGAUAGAACUGAAAUAUGAGUGUAGGUAGCUUAUACCAUGAAGCUAUUGUAAUGUUGCAAUUCAGCUGGCAAUCUUUGGUCUUGUCCAUACAUCGCCAUAGGAUUUAGGAUUGGGUUGUACUGUGGUAGAUAUGUAGGCAUUUGAUUCAUAAAAACCUCCGAAUGACCCUAUAAAAAAUGGUGAGAUAAAUCUUGUAUAACUUAAGUUUUUAUAUCAGAUCAAGUGUGAAUUUAUUUAUACCAUUGAGGUGCCAUGAGUUUGUAGUGCUACAGGAUUAUCUACUUUCCUUUUCCUCUUUGAUUUUGCUUUCUCUAAGCCACCAAUAGGUCUACUUGCUCCUUGAAUAGUCUUCUCCUUCAACUUGAAACCUUUUGGCUUAGCAAGCCCCUUAUUUUGUUUUGAACUUGUAGAUGAGUUAAUGUUUGGUUCUGCAAAUAUAUAUUUAAAUAAAAUUCAAGUUUGAUAACAUUAUAAAACUACACACCCACAUCAGCAGGUAUACUUGACCCUCGAACAGUCUUCUUUUUAACCUUGUUACCUGUUGGAUUGGCAAAUUCCUCAUUUUGUUCUGAACUUGUAGACGAGUUAAUGUUUGGGUCUGCAACUGUAAAAGCAAACAUAUUUUAGUUUGAUAAGAUCAUAAAACUAAACUUACAGACAUUGUGCCAAGCGAGUUACAUAUAUCUGGAUGUCUGUUUGAUCCUCGAGUUGUCUUCUCCUUCACCUUCAUUCUUUUUGGCUUAGUAGGCCUCUCAUUCUGUUCUGAACUUGUAGUCAUGAUAUUGUUUGAGUCUGCAACUAUAAAAGUAAAAUUUAAGCUUGAUAAGAGCAUAAAACUGAAUGUACAUACCUUAUGAACAAACAGAGUUACCUGUAUCUGGAUCAGAUCUAUGUUUUAGACAUUUCUCCACAUCUUCUGCUAAUUUCUCUGCAUAAUUAGCAGCAUCAAGUAUGACUCUUCAGACUCUGCGGCUCGAGCAGCUAUUUGGAUAAACAUUCUGCACAACUCUUUAUAGGGUUUUGUCAGUAUUGCUUUGCAGUCUUCAUGUAGGUUGCAAUUGCUUGUUAUAUCCAAAACUUUUGCAUCAAUUGUCCAUCUUUUCAAGAUGUACUGUUGAGGGAUAUGCUUGAUAUUAUUAGGGCCUCUUUGAUUCAUAGGAUUGCAAAAACACAGUAAUAGGAAAAACGGAGGAUUGGAAUGGCAUGUCCAUUGGAUCCCUGUAGGAUUUGAGUUUAUUUGAUUGUGUCAUGGGAAAAACAAAGGAUUUCUUCCAAGAGGUUGGAGUGGGUGUUAGAAUUCCUGUGAAAUGUAGUACAAAUGAAUCCUUAGGAAAAAAUCCUAUGGGAUUCAAUCCUAUGAAUCAAAUGACCAACGUAGGAAAAAUUCCUAAGGAUUUUAAUCCUUCAAAGAUCCUAUCAAAAACCUUUGAAUCAAAGAGACCCUUAAUGUCAAGUACAUUCAAGGAAUGAGAGCAAAGAAUUCCAGCAAAUUCAAACUUCUUGCAACUGCAAUUGACCUUUUCUUCUUUCGGAAAAAAUUUAACAACAUGAUCACGCUCUGUACCAUGAAAUUUUACUUUGUAAACCUUCUCCUCGGUGUCACUGUCGUCACAAAGGAAUGUAUCAUAGUUUAAGGUCCGAAGCACUUGUUCCUGAAACAUCUUGAAUAUUGGUGGAGUAUAUGUAGUUGAUGCUUGCCUUAACAUAUAGCUUUCUGCCUUCAGCUUAGGAGUACUUUGUGUUGCUUUGAAGUCACAUCUCACCUCUUCAAAUCUUUUAUCUGCAACUAGACGUUCGAAAUGCUCAAAAAAAGUAAGCAUGUCAUACUUAGAACUAAUGUAACGUUUUAGUUCGUUGUUCAUGCUUUCACUCCUUUGGGUACUGCUCAUGUGUGCAGAGAAAGUAUUCGUGCCAUACACUAGGGACUAAUGCUCCCUUUUCUCAAAUAACCUUUGGAGCCAUGCAUUGCCCCGGAGUUCAUACUUGUCAAGCAUUUCAUUCCAUGCACUUAUAAAUUCAUCUUCUUCCCCAAUAUCAUAGAUACAAUGCUGAAAAUCAGCAUUGAACUUCUUGUAAUCUGUAACAACUCCACUAAGAUGUUUGACAACAUUUUGAUUCAUAUGCCACACGCAAAGUCUAUGAUGAGAGUGAGGCAGGACUGAGCAGAUCGCCUUAGCCAUUGCUGCAUCUUCGUCAGUCAAAAUUGUAUGUGGAUGCUUUCCAGACAUUACUGUUAAAAAUGUUCUAAAAAGCCAAGAAAAACUUUCUGCUGUUUCAUCAUAGAGAAGUGCAGCACCAAACACAAUUGUUUUCUUGUGAUUAUUCACGCCAACAAUUAAACCAAACGGACGCCCAUCGUCUAGUUUCCUGUAUGUGGUGUCAAAGCAUAUGACAUCACCAAAUAAUGCAUAGUCUGACACUAUUUUGGAGUCCGCCAAAAUAUAUUAGUUAUCAAAUCAUCCUCAUCAACUUGAAUUGAAUAAAAAAACUUGACAUCUUCUGAAACCUUCUUCUCCAUAUAUUCUAACACUCCACCCGUGUCACCGACCUUUGCUUUUAGUGUUCUCUUUGAGUACAAACGAUUUUUCAUGUCAGUACUUAUAAAGCCAAGGUUUUCAGGUCCACAUGCUUCUUUCGUUAUUAGAUCAAUAGUUGCUUUAUUUGAAAUGCCCACUGACUAUGCGACCUUGGCAUUGGCUAGUUGAGCUUCAGUUACUUUCCUGUGUGAUCUUAAGUAUUGCGACAUGUUUCCAGUAGCAAAACUAUGGUUAUGGGCUUCUUUAAAUUCGUAUACAUAAUAAAUCCCAUUAUUAAGACUUAUCUUCAUACGUGCAUCACAACCACAUCGUGUCUCAGGCCUACUAUAACUGAAUUUCUCCUCUCUUUUAUCUUCCGUACGAACUCCUAUUAGUUGAAGUAAUUUUCUUAGUCGCAUCUAAAAAUCAUAUGACCAGAACAAGUUAGAACUAGUCCAUACCUUGAAGAGAACAUGUGAAUGUCCGUUGUUGUAUUGUGCUGGAAUUUUUCACUUUAUGAUGAUUGCCUCUUCGGAUGCUAAAACCCAAGGAAUAAGCAUACUUGUUAUAGAAGCCAUAUGCUUCUUCUUCAGAUAAAAACUGCAUGCCAAUCUUUGGCACCCUUUUUUCAAUUUGCUCUGUUGCAUUGCUAGCUGUAGUUUCUUCGACCCCCUAUUUAAAUUAGUACUCACUUUAGCAAUUGGUGAAAAUACAAGGAAAAGGAGAAGAAAACAUAUCUGUGUUGUAAAUCAGCGAUAACCUCGCUAUGACUAUUUAUUUCGCUGUCAUAGUGGAAUGGAAAGGAGAGGAAUCUGUGUUGUUUUCCCAUUCUGAACAAGCUGGUUAAUAAUUUCAAUCUUCUGACUAUGCAUUCUCAACUAAUCAGGGUAUGUCUUUGCCCCUCGAACCAUUACAUUUCUCUUAUAUGUCCAGCAUCAGUGUCAAUUUUUCCAUCAGUAAUACAACUUUGUAUUGUGCGAUCUGUGCAAGACAUGUUAGCUGGAUAUUGGCGCACUAGGAGUAAGAAAUAUAUGCAUCUACUAUCUAGUUUCAUUUUGCUAUGUGGUCCCACUGACAGCAAUCACAAAAACCUGAAAGUCUUAGAUCUGUUUCAUUGCAGGAUUGGGAGAAGACUGUUGGGUCAGAGAAAAAGGAAGAACGCAAUGGAAACAAGAUGGCUUACAUUUGGGGGAUUUGAUUCCUCAUUGGUUCCGGCAAGAAUUGGUGAAGAAGCCAUCAAGUUCCUCCAGCAAGUCCCUUUGUUGGAUCUGUGUUCGUAGAUAGAUUUGAUGAAGUGUAUAGUUUGGUUUGUUUCGUACUCUAUGUGCGGGAUAAGUUCACGGCCAAUGCUUUUGGCGGGCAAGACAUAUUUAUUUCCCUCCAAAUCUUUGUUCUGUUGCGUUAAUUACGUUUGCCUAGAGAAAGUCCGGAACGGCUGGUUUUAAUUAAGAGACGGACGGCCGCUUUUGUUUAAUUGCUGGGUUUUUAAGGGAAAAGGGGGCCAGCAACGGGGGUCGUUGGAUGAGCGCCACUUACCGGGGGAGCACGGAUGGG